RNAcentral lists this ribosomal RNA (253 nucleotides) under uncultured bacterium. RNAcentral describes it as "partial 16S ribosomal RNA". It matches the Rfam family "Bacterial small subunit ribosomal RNA", at positions 524 to 776 of the family's 1533-position model. The record is from RNAcentral.
GACGUAGGUGGCGAGCGUUGUUCGGAAUCACUGGGCAUAAAGCGCACGUAGGCGGCCAAGUCAGUCAGGUGUGAAAUACCUCGGCUCAACCGAGGAACUGCGCCUGAUACUGCUUGGCUUGAGGUCCGGAAAGGAGAGUGGAAUUCCCGGUGGAGCGGUGAAAUGCGUAGAGAUCGGGAAGAACGCCGGCGGCGAAAGCGACUCUCUGGUCGGAAUCUGACGCUGAGGUGCGAAAGCUAGGGGAGCAAACGGG